UCUGGUUGGAGAUCUCUUCUUGGUGGAGCUUUCCCUGCUGAGCCUGGAAUCUUCUGAUACAGAGGACAGGGAUAGGAAGAAAAUACUUCAUUUGAAAGUUAGUAUUUGAGGAACAGCGUGUAACUGGCAUCCUGUGAACAAGCCUGGGGCAGACCUCGGGCCACAGCCAAAUGCAACCUGAAAGCUUCUGGCCAUCAGCUCCAGGACACCUGUGCUGACAUCCAGCACACUCCAUGCAGAAGAACUGAUGGAGAAAGAAGGGAGUCACAGGUGAUGGGGGCUGUGGUGCUAAAUGCACCGGUUCUUAGCAAUGUGUCCCAUAGGAGGGGAUGUGAUAUAAUUACUCAAGCUAUGGUGAGCAGCAUCAUACUAAGAAAGCAAAGAAGCAAGGAUGUGUGAAGGCCCCCAGCAUCAGCUGGCCCCCAGCUGUUGUGUCUGAGGCUCCCAGUGCUGGGAGAUGCUGGGCCACGUAACACCUUUGUUGUCUCCCUUUGCAGUCUGAGCAGGAUCUGCUGCUGCUUCCCACCAGCCUUUGUCAGCACUGUCCCUUGUUCAGACUGCUGCUGGACUGCUAAUGAGGCAGUAAUUGGCUCCAUGUCAGCAGGAUGGCAACAACCAGGGACCAUGUGCUGCACGUUCCCUGGAACAAGAGCAGCAGGAGAGCUGUGCUCUGGUCUCUGGACCUGGUCCUGACCAAACCAGGGCUUUGUUUACUCAAAUAGCUAAAGGGAACAUCCUUCCCCAGCACCCAGCUGUGCUGCGUGUGGAGCUUUUGCCCUGCAUUUUACCCUGUUUGGGUGUUUCUGCCCUACUGUGAAUGUACCACCUGCAUAGUGCUAGUGCCCUGACUGCCAGGAGCAAGCAGCCCAUAGGAUCUGUUUGCAGAUUAUUCACAACUGGUUUUUCUCUUCCAUCUGCCUAACUUGACCAUCUGGUAUAUUCUUCAUUCCUACAGGAUAGGAUAGCAGCAAGGCUUCUGGGCCUGGCUUUCACUCCAAUUCAUCAGCAGCAAUAACACAGUCAUGGCAGAGCAUCUCUCUGACUCAGACAUUUUGGCUUACCAGCAUGGUGAUACCACACAUUAUUGCCCUACAAACCUUUCUGGGUAGAAGUGCAAUGACUGGAUUAAGCAUCCCCAGCCUGCUUCCCGUGUGCUCUGCCUGCAGCAAUCCCAUCCUGUGCAUUCCAGGGCAACUCAAGGCUUUUCUCUCUCAGCAAAAGGGGCUUGUGCAGAAACAGAUUUUGUUUCCAUCCAUUUUCCUCUGCUGCACCAGUAGAGUAACACAGAGACAACCAAUGUUCCUUUGGAGUGUAAUCAAACUGCCUCUCAGAUAUGGGCAUGUUU
This 1345-nucleotide long non-coding RNA is filed under the name Gallus gallus (chicken). RNAcentral describes it as "lncRNA (ENSGALG00010000487.1)". The record is from RNAcentral. Lineage: Eukaryota; Metazoa; Chordata; Aves; Galliformes; Phasianidae.